Molecule: ribosomal RNA, 254 nt
Filed under: uncultured bacterium
Lineage: Bacteria
Description: partial 16S ribosomal RNA
Rfam family: Bacterial small subunit ribosomal RNA
Source: RNAcentral
CACGUAGGGUGCGAGCGUUGUCCGGAAUUAUUGGGCGUAAAGAGCUCGUAGGCGGUGUGUCGCGUCGGCCGUGAAAACCUGCAGCUUAACUGUGGGCUUGCGGUCGAUACGGGCAUCACUGGAGUUCGGCAGGGGAGAGUGGAAUUCCCGGUGGAGCGGUGAAAUGCGUAGAGAUCGGGAAGAACGCCGGCGGCGAAAGCGACUCUCUGGUCGGAUCCUGACGCUGAGGUGCGAAAGCUAGGGGAGCAAACGGG